RNAcentral lists this transfer RNA (72 nucleotides) under Pangasius djambal. RNAcentral's name for it is "tRNA-Glu". It matches the Rfam family "tRNA". From Rfam's summary of the family: Transfer RNA (tRNA) molecules are approximately 80 nucleotides in length. Their secondary structure includes four short double-helical elements and three loops (D, anti-codon, and T loops). The record is from RNAcentral. Lineage: Eukaryota; Metazoa; Chordata; Actinopteri; Siluriformes; Pangasiidae.
UCCCUGGAGGACCAGUGGUUGGGUCACGGCACUCUCACCGCUGCGGCCCGUGUUCGAUUCCUGGCCAGGGAA